Molecule: ribosomal RNA, 423 nt
Filed under: Pyrrhospora arandensis
Lineage: Eukaryota; Fungi; Ascomycota; Lecanoromycetes; Lecanorales; Lecanoraceae
Description: SSU rRNA
Rfam family: Bacterial small subunit ribosomal RNA
Source: RNAcentral
UAGCAGUGAGGAAUAUUGGUCAAUAGCCUAACGGCUGAACCAGCAACUUGGAGGAACGAAUAGCAAUAGCUAGUUGCACCAACGCACAGUUGGAGCAAAAUCGACUAUGUCGAAUAAAGUUCUAAGUAGAUAUAUGAUAAUGACGUAAUCUGCUUAUGUGUCUUGACCAAAUUACGUGCCAGCAGUCGCGGUAAUACGUAGAAGACUAGUGUUAUUCAUCUUUAAUAGGUUUAAAGGGUACCUAGACGGUAAAUAAAGCUUUUAACUAUUGAACUAAUUUACUAGAGUUACUUAUGAGGGGGUAUUAAAGUACUAGUGGUGUAGAGAUGAAAUUCUGUAAUACCUAUUUUCGGAAGAAAAGUCACGGCACAGGUAUAGGCGAAAGCAUCCCCUUAUGUGAUAACUGACGUUGAAGGACGAAGG